UCUCAAAGANUNANCCAUGCAUGUCUAAGUAUAAGCAACUAUACCGUGAAACUGCGAAUGGCUCAUUAAAUCAGUUAUCGUUUAUUUGAUAGUACCUCUACUACAUGGACAACUGUGGUAAUUCUAGAGCUAAUACAUGCUAAAAACCUCGACUUCGGAAGGGGUGUAUUUAUUAGAUAAAAAACCAAUGCCCUUCGGGGCUUCUUGGUGAUUCAUAAUAACUAAACGAAUCGCAUGGCCUUGCGCCGGCGAUGGUUCAUUCAAAUUUCUGCCCUAUCAACUUUCGAUGGUAGGAUAGUGGCCUACCAUGGUUUCAACGGGUAACGGGGAAUUAGGGUUCUAUUCCGGAGAGGGAGCCUGAGAAACGGCUACCACAUCCAAGGAAGGCAGCAGGCGCGCAAAUUAUCCAAUCCCAAUACGGGGAGAUAGUGACAAUAAAUACUGAUACAGGGCUCUUUUGGGUCUUGUAAUUGGAAUGAGUACAAUUUAAAUCCCUUAACGAGGAACAAUUGGAGGGCAAGUCUGGUGGACGUUCAGUCUCGCUGCUGACGCCAGAGAUAGCAGGNNCUCUCCCCCGUGGCGGGGGGGGGGCUAUGCCUGCUAGUCGAGCAUCCCGUGGGUGACGGGUGGAUGCCGGCGAGGUAACCUGGAACGGGGAAGCCUACGGGGGGUCCNACCCCUAUGGUAAUCCCGUGGCGAGCUCUGGAGACGGGGCCGUCGUAACGCGCGCAAAGGUACCGGUCGCUGUACGCAGCGGCUCAAGGGACGUGCUAUACCCACCCGAAAGGGUGAUCCCGCCUGGAGCACCCGUCGUGCAAAGGGCGUGGAUGGGAGGNCGGUGCCUGCACCCACCCCCGGUGGUUCAGCGAUGAACCUCCAUCUUCUAGGCCAGCAGCCGCGGUAAUUCCAGCUCCAAUAGCGUAUAUUAAAGUUGUUGCAGUUAAAAAGCUCGUAGUUGAACCUUGGAUCUGGCCGAUCGGUCCGCCUCACCGCGUGCACUGGCUCGGCCGGAUCUUUCUUUCUGGGGAGCCCUAUGGCCUUCACUGGUCGUAGCGGGGAACCAGGACUUUUACUUUGAAAAAAUUAGAGUGUUCAAAGCAGGCCUUCGCUCGAAUACAUUAGCAUGGAAUAAUAGAAUAAGACGUGUGGUUUUAUUUUGUUGGUUUCUAAGACCGCCGUAAUGAUUAAUAGGGACAGUCGGGGGCGUCUGUAUUCCGUUGUCAGAGGUGAAAUUCUUGGAUUUACGGAAGACAAACUACUGCGAAAGCAUUCGCCAAGGAUGUUUUCAUUAAUCAGUGAACGAAAGUUAGGGGAUCGAAGACGAUCAGAUACCGUCGUAGUCUUAACCAUAAACUAUGCCGACUAGGGAUCGGACGGUGUUUUUAUUUUGACCCGUUCGGCACCUUACGAGAAAUCAAAGUGUUUGGGCUCUGGGGGG
This 1438-nucleotide ribosomal RNA is filed under the name Caliciopsis orientalis. RNAcentral's name for it is "partial 18S small subunit ribosomal RNA". It matches the Rfam family "Eukaryotic small subunit ribosomal RNA", at positions 35 to 1121 of the family's 1831-position model. The record is from RNAcentral. Lineage: Eukaryota; Fungi; Ascomycota; Eurotiomycetes; Coryneliales; Coryneliaceae.